UACGUAGGUGGCAAGCGUUGUCCGGAAUUAUUGGGCGUAAAGCGCGCGCAGGCGGUCCUUUAAGUCUGAUGUGAAAGCCCACGGCUCAACCGUGGAGGGUCAUUGGAAACUGGGGGACUUGAGUACAGAAGAGAAGAGUGGAAUUCCACGUGUAGCGGUGAAAUGCGUAGAGAUGUGGAGGAACACCAGUGGCGAAGGCGACUCUUUGGUCCGUAACUGACGCUGAGGCGCGAAAGCGUGGGGAGCAAACAGG
RNAcentral lists this ribosomal RNA (253 nucleotides) under uncultured bacterium. Its description in RNAcentral is "partial 16S ribosomal RNA". It matches the Rfam family "Bacterial small subunit ribosomal RNA", at positions 524 to 776 of the family's 1533-position model. The record is from RNAcentral.